This 494-nucleotide ribosomal RNA is filed under the name uncultured bacterium. Its description in RNAcentral is "partial 16S ribosomal RNA". It matches the Rfam family "Bacterial small subunit ribosomal RNA", at positions 28 to 507 of the family's 1533-position model. The record is from RNAcentral.
GACGAACGCUGGCGGCGUGCUUAACACAUGCAAGUCGAACGGAAAGGCCUGCUUUCCCUUGUGGAUUGCGGGUACUCGAGUGGCGAACGGGUGAGUAACACGUGAGUGAUCUGCCCCCAACUUGGGUAUAAGCCUGGGAAACUGGGUCUAAUUCCCGAUAGGACUGCAGGGUGGUGCCUGUGGUGGAAAACGAUUUUCUAGUGGUUGGGGAUGAGCUCGCGGCCUAUCAGCUUGUUGGUGGGGUAAUGGCCUACGAAGGCGGCGACGGGUAGCCGGCCUGAGAGGGUGGACGGUGACAGUGGGACUGGGAUACGGCCCAGACUCCUACGGGAGGCAGCAGUGGGGAAUAUUGCACAAUGGUCGGAAGCCUGAUGCAGCGACGCAGCGUGGGGGAUGACGGCCUUCGGGUUGUAAACUCCUUUCGACCGCGAGGAAGCCACCUGGUUGGAAGGGUGGUGACGGUAGUGGUAGAAGAAGCACCGGCUAACUACGUG